Molecule: ribosomal RNA, 457 nt
Filed under: uncultured bacterium
Lineage: Bacteria
Description: partial 16S ribosomal RNA
Rfam family: Bacterial small subunit ribosomal RNA
Source: RNAcentral
GAUGAACGCUGGCGGCGUGCCUAAUACAUGCAAGUCGAGCGGAAAGGCCCUUCGGGGUACUCGAGCGGCGGACGGCUGAGUAACGCGUAGGAACGUACCCCAAAGUGAGGGAUAACUGCUCGAAAGAGUAGCUAAUACCGCAUGUGCUCUUCGGAGUAAAGCUUCGGCGCUUUGGGAACGGCCUGCGUCCUAUUAGCUAGUUGGUGAGGUAAUUGCUCACCAAGGCGACGAUAGGUAGCUGGUCUGAGAGGAUGAUCAGCCAGACUGGGACUGAGACACGGCCCAGACUCCUACGGGAGGCAGCAGUAGAGAAUUUUCCACAAUGGGCGAAAGCCUGAUGGAGCAACGCCGCGUGCAGGAUGAAGGCCUUCGGGUUGUAAACUGCUUUUAUAGGUGAAGAAUAUGACGGUAACCUAUGAAUAAGGAUCGGCUAACUCCGUGCCAGCCGCCGCCGUAA